UUUGAAAGACUAAAAAUUCAAGUGUAGAUAAGAUGCAGAGUUACUGGAACUCUCAUAUAAUGUUAGGGAAGUAAAUUGGUAAAACCACUUUGGAGACCUGGGAGUCUGCGAAAGCGGAAAGCAUGCAUACCCGCUGACCCAGCAAUUGCUGAGCAAUACCCAAGGGAAAUGUGUGCAUAUGUGCACCAAAAGAGAAGUCCAAGAUCGAUCACAGCAGCUCUGCUUGUAAAGUCCCAAACUGAAAAACCCCAAGGGUAGAUCACUAAUGGAGUCCAUAAAUUAAUUGUGGCAUAUUCACGCAGGGGAACCCGAGCUCAGGCAAGAGUGAAUAAGGUGUAGCUUCAUGCUUCAGCAACGAUGCAGCUCACACACAUAAUAUGGAAUGAAAGAGGCGAGACACAAGAAACUUCUACUGGACAGUGCUGGGGUCACUUGGAAAAGCAUUUAAAAUAGGUUCUAGAAGAGAUCGAAGAAGUCAUCAAGUCAAACACCCUCCUGUUGGAGGCGACGUGCCCAAGGAUGCUCCGCAGAUGUCGCUAGCCGUCACCUACGCCAGGCUCUCAGCCGGCAGCCUCCUCCACGUGCCUGCUUUGUAAGCAUUGCUGGCAGAAGCACCAGCUCUCCAAAAGGCUUCGCUUCAAGAACAAGCGCUUCUCACUGCUCCCCAAGGGAAGGCAGAAGGCAAGGGAGCAUGCGGAGAGCCCUAGACGGUUGUCAGGAAAUUCUUUAGCUGCGUGGAAGGUGCUGUGCUGGGGGUUUGUGCCCUCCAGGAACUGUUUGGAAAUGAUUUAUGGUUCAAGAUGGCGCCAGUCCUUCCUCAGCCCACCGCAGUAGACAAGGGAGGGACACAGCGAGAGCAGGAACACAAGCAGGGGGAGUGUG
Long non-coding RNA from Callorhinus ursinus (northern fur seal), 882 nucleotides. RefSeq lists it as uncharacterized. The record is from RefSeq and is a predicted model, not a curated record. Lineage: Eukaryota; Metazoa; Chordata; Mammalia; Carnivora; Otariidae.